Molecule: long non-coding RNA, 978 nt
Filed under: Capra hircus (goat)
Lineage: Eukaryota; Metazoa; Chordata; Mammalia; Artiodactyla; Bovidae
Description: lncRNA (ENSCHIG00000004888.1)
Source: RNAcentral
UCAUUUCAGAAGGAACUGGCUGCUUCUCCUCUGCCUUUCAAUCUGUCAGCAGAGCCCCCUCCCACCCUCCCUUACCCCCGACCUCCUCCACUGGCAGGAAGUAAACAAAAACCAGCUGGAAUGGAAGCCCGGGGACAGUGUUUGCAGACUUCAGCCCUCUGAAGUACACAGGUAAUCCUUUGGACAGUCCACAAAGAAGUCUUGGCAGGUAAUUUCAAGAGAAAGACUGCGAAGGUUUCUCCCCUUUUGUAUCUGCUGAUCUUAUCUCUUGCAGAUUCAGCUCAAAAGCAAUCAAUUUAAAAACGACUGGAGCUGCCACCACUACCCGAAGGCUUAUGCCAGGGGCCCUACCAGCUACUUUGUAUUCAGUAUCUCAGAUUCUCAACCAGGUUGUUAAUCUUAACAACCCAGGGACAGUCUCUUGAAAAUACCCAUUAUAUAGAAAACUGUGACUCAGAGACAUUAAGUCACUGCUCCAAGGUCAAACAGCUCUUAAGUGGCAAACUGGAUAGACGAUCUCUAUUUCAUUUGCCAUCAGAUUCUGCUCUGUUUUUAUAACUCUGGUAGCUCUUACCUAAUCAGAAUUUUUUUUUUUUUAAGUUUCCUAAAGUCGUCACAAGGGUAGUUCAUCCUAAAGGGUGUAAACAAACAGACGCAAAACCAAGGCCACAGAAGAGCAUUCUCAAGUCCAAUUAUUUGCCUCCCUCCUCCGUCUUUCCCUGGUGACGUUAAACUAACGUACCCUUGUAGAGUACAUCUUCUCAAGCAGAUAGAUAAGAUAUUGAAGGGACAGAGGAGGGACACUGGAUGUGUUGGAGGAUCCCAGAGUUAUGUGCCCGAGGAGGACUCAGCAUGAGGGGCAAAGUCUGGACGAGAGUGUGUGAAGAAGCCUUACCACUGAAGAGUGAAUGCCCCCUGGGAAACCCUGCAAGGCUUGGCAUCUGGGAUGUUAGUGCCCUGAACAGUGAUCGAACCUGA